UAAGGAAUAUUGCUCAAUGGGAGAAAUCCUGAAGCAGCAACGCCGCGUGGAGGAUGAAGGGUCUAUGACUUGUAAACUCCUGUAAAGAAGGAAAAAAUUCCCAUUUGAUGGGAGAUGAUGGUACUUCUGGAGUAAGCCACGGCUAACUACGUGCCAGCAGCCGCGGUAAUACGUGGGGGCAAGCGUUGUCCGGAUUUACUGGGUGUAAAGGGUGCUCAGGCGGAUUUGUAAGUCAGAGGUGAAAUCUUACAGCUUAACUGUGAAACUGCCUUUGAUACUGCAAGCCUAGAGUAUGGAAGAGAGUGAUGGAAUAUCUGGUGUAGCAGUGAAAUGCGUAGAUAUGAGAUAGAUCAUCAAUGGCGAAGGCAGUCACUUGGUCCAUUACUGACGCUAAAGCACGAAAGCGUGGGUAGCAAAC
This 418-nucleotide ribosomal RNA is filed under the name uncultured bacterium. RNAcentral describes it as "bacterial SSU rRNA". It matches the Rfam family "Bacterial small subunit ribosomal RNA", at positions 355 to 773 of the family's 1533-position model. The record is from RNAcentral.